This 214-nucleotide ribosomal RNA is filed under the name uncultured bacterium. Its description in RNAcentral is "partial 16S ribosomal RNA". It matches the Rfam family "Bacterial small subunit ribosomal RNA", at positions 118 to 332 of the family's 1533-position model. The record is from RNAcentral.
UGAGCAAUCUGCCCUUCACAUCGGAAUAACCAUUGGAAACGAUGGCUAAUACCGAAUAUGACUUCGGAUCGCAUGAUCUGAAGUGGAAAGCUCCGGCGGUGAAGGAUGAGCUCGCGGCCUAUCAGCUUGUUGGUGAGGUAAUAGCUCACCAAGGCGAUGACGGGUAGCCGGCCUGAGAGGGUGACCGGCCGCACGUGGGACUGAGACACCGGCA